RNAcentral lists this ribosomal RNA (1027 nucleotides) under uncultured bacterium. RNAcentral describes it as "bacterial SSU rRNA". It matches the Rfam family "Bacterial small subunit ribosomal RNA", at positions 8 to 1066 of the family's 1533-position model. The record is from RNAcentral.
AGAGUUUGAUCCUGGCUCAGAAUCAACGCUGGCGGCGUGCCUAACACAUGCAAGUCGCACGAGAAAGGGUAGCAAUACCUGAGUAAAGUGGCGCACGGGUGAGUAACACGUGAAUUAUCUACCUCCGAGUGGGGAAUAACUGAGAGAAAUCUUAGCUAAUACCGCAUAACACUUACGAGUCAAAGCAGCAAUGCGCUUGGAGAGGAGUUCGCGGCAGAUUAGUUAGUUGGCGGGGUAAUGGCCCACCAAGACGAUGAUCUGUAUCCGGCCUGAGAGGGCGCACGGACACACUGGAACUGAAACACGGUCCAGACUCCUACGGGAGGCAGCAGUGGGGAAUUUUGCGCAAUGGGGGAAACCCUGACGCAGCAACGCCGCGUGGAGGAUGAAAUAUCUUGGUAUGUAAACUCCUUUCGAUGGGGAAGAUUAUGACGGUACCCAUAGAAGAAGCCCCGGCUAACUUCGUGCCAGCAGCCGCGGUAAUACGAGGGGGGCAAGCGUUGUUCGGAUUUAUUGGGCGUAAAGGGUGCGUAGGCGGUUUGAUAAGUCUGGUGUGAAAUCUAUGGGCUCAACCCAUAGUCUGCACUAGAAACUGUCGGGCUUGAGUAUGGGAGAGGUGAGUGGAAUUUCCGGUGUAGCGGUGAAAUGCGUAGAUAUCGGAAGGAACACCUGUGGCGAAAGCGGCUCACUGGACCAUAACUGACGCUGAUGCACGAAAGCUAGGGGAGCAAACAGGAUUAGAUACCCUGGUAGUCCUAGCCCUAAACGAUGAUUGUUUGAUGUGGCAGGUACCCAAUCCUGCCGUGUCGAAGCUAACGCGAUAAACAAUCCGCCUGGGGAGUACGGUCGCAAGGCUGAAACUCAAAGGAAUUGACGGGGGCCCGCACAAGCGGUGGAGCAUGUGGUUUAAUUCGACGCAACGCGAAGACCUUACCUGGGCUCGAAAUGUAGUGGAAUCCGGCAGAAACGUCGGCGUCUAGCAUAGACCGCUAUAUAGGUGCUGCAUGGCUGUCGUCAGCCUCGUGUC